GUUGCAGGUUUUGAUCUUCACUGU
RNAcentral lists this non-coding RNA (24 nucleotides) under Arabidopsis thaliana (thale cress). The record is from RNAcentral. Lineage: Eukaryota; Viridiplantae; Streptophyta; Magnoliopsida; Brassicales; Brassicaceae.